This 278-nucleotide ribosomal RNA is filed under the name uncultured Geobacillus sp. RNAcentral describes it as "partial 16S ribosomal RNA". It matches the Rfam family "Bacterial small subunit ribosomal RNA", at positions 1101 to 1382 of the family's 1533-position model. Lineage: Bacteria; Bacillati; Bacillota; Bacilli; Caryophanales; Anoxybacillaceae. The record is from RNAcentral.
AACCCUGCCUCAGUUGCCAGCAUCGGUUGGGCACUCUAGAGGGACUGCCGGCGACAAGUCGGAGGAAGGUGGGGAUGACGUCAAAUCAUCAUGCCCCUUAUGACCUGGGCUACACACGUGCUACAAUGGGCGGUACAAAGGGCUGCGAACCCGCGAGGGGGAGCGAAUCCCAAAAAGCCGCUCUCAGUUCGGAUUGCAGGCUGCAACUCGCCUGCAUGAAGCCGGAAUCGCUAGUAAUCGCGGAUCAGCAUGCCGCGGUGAAUACGUUCCCGGGCCUU